GACGAACGCUGGCGGCGUGCUUAACACAUGCAAGUCGAACGGAAAGGCCCUGCUUUUGUGGGGUGCUCGAGUGGCGAACGGGUGGGUAACACGUGAGUAGCCUGCCCUUGACUUUGGGAUAACUUCAGGAAACUGGGGCUAAUACCGGAUAGGAGCUCCUGCUGCAUGGUGGGGAUUGGAAAGUUUCGGCGGUUGGGGAUGGACUCGCGGCUUAUCAGCUUGUUGGUGGGGUAGUGGCUUACCAAGGCUUUGACGGGUAGCCGGCCUGAGAGGGUGACCGGCCACAUUGGGACUGAGAUACGGCCCAGACUCCUACGGGAGGCAGCAGUGGGGAAUAUUGCACAAUGGGCGGAAGCCUGAUGCAGCAACGCCGCGUGCGGGAUGACGGCCUUCGGGUUGUAAACCGCUUUCGCCUGUGACGAAGCGUGAGUGACGGUAAUGGGUAAAGAAGCACCGGCUAACUACGU
RNAcentral lists this ribosomal RNA (467 nucleotides) under uncultured bacterium. RNAcentral describes it as "partial 16S ribosomal RNA". It matches the Rfam family "Bacterial small subunit ribosomal RNA", at positions 28 to 506 of the family's 1533-position model. The record is from RNAcentral.